This 838-nucleotide ribosomal RNA is filed under the name uncultured bacterium. Its description in RNAcentral is "bacterial SSU rRNA". It matches the Rfam family "Bacterial small subunit ribosomal RNA", at positions 26 to 898 of the family's 1533-position model. The record is from RNAcentral.
AGAAUCAACGCUGGCGGCGCGCCUAACACAUGCAAGUCGAACGAGAAAGUGGAGCAAUCCAUGAGUACAGUGGCGUACGGGUGAGUAACACGUGGGUAAUCUACCUCUUAGUGAGGAAUAACCCUGGGAAACCGGGGCUAAUACCGCAUGAGCCUGAGAAGGGAAAGCAGAAAUGCGCUGAGAGAGGAGCCCGCGGCCGAUUAGCUAGUUGGUGGGGUAAGAGCCCACCAAGGCAGAGAUCGGUAGCCGGCCUGAGAGGGCACACGGCCACACUGGCACUGAAACACGGGCCAGACUCCUACGGGAGGCAGCAGUGGGGAAUCUUGCACAAUGGGGGAAACCCUGAUGCAGCGACGCCGCGUGAGCGAUGAAGCCCUUCGGGUGUAAAGCUCUUUCGUCAGGGAAGAUAGUGACGGUACCUGGAGAAGCAGCUGCGGCUAACUACGUGCCAGCAGCCGCGGUAAUACGUAGGCAGCAAGCGUUGUUCGGAGUUACUGGGCGUAAAGGGUGUGUAGGCGGUUCUUUAAGUUUGGUGUGAAAUCGCCCGGCUUAACCGGGAGGGUGCGCCGAAUACUGAGGGACUAGAGUACGGGAGAGGAAAGUGGAAUUCCUGGUGUAGCGGUGAAAUGCGUGGAUAUCAGGAGGAACACCGGUGGUGUAGACGGCUUUCUGGACCGUAACUGACGCUGAGACACGAAAGCGUGGGUAGCAAACAGGAUUAGAUACCCUGGUAGUCCACGCCCUAAACGAUGCAUAUUUGGUGUGGGCAGUUCAUUCUGUCCGUGCCGGAGCUAACGCGUUAAAUAUGCCGCCUGGGGAGUACAGUCGCAAGGCUGAA